This is a long non-coding RNA of Eurytemora carolleeae, 806 nucleotides long. RefSeq lists it as uncharacterized. Lineage: Eukaryota; Metazoa; Arthropoda; Copepoda; Calanoida; Temoridae. The transcript has 3 exons. The record is from RefSeq and is a predicted model, not a curated record.
UAAAAUAGUUUAUCAAAGCAACUGAACAGAAUAGAAUUGUUUAUCAUAGCAACUGAACAGAACAGAUGAUGUUUAUGAAAGCAAAUGAACAGAAUAGAAUAGUUUAUCAAAACAACUGAACAGAACAGAAUAGCUUAUCAAACCAACUGAACAGAAUAGAAAAAUUUAUCAUAGCCACUUAACAGAAUAGUAUAGUUUAUCAUAGCAACUAAACAGAAUAGAAUAGUUUAUCAAAGCAACUGAACAGAAUAGAAUAGUUUAUCAAAGCAACUGAACAUGAUAUAAGAAACAAGAGAUUCCCUUUAUAUUUGGAGAAGAUAAUUCUAUUUAGAUAAACUGGGCGAACUUAGAAGAUAAUUCCAUACUUGAAGAAACUGAACCUGGAAGAUAAUUCCAUAUUUGGAGAAACUGAACCUGGAAGAUAAUUCCAUUAUUGGAGAAACUGAACCUGGAAGAUAAUUCCAUAUUGGAAGUAACUGAACCUAGAAGAUAAUUCCAUAUUUGGAUAAACUGAACCUGGAAGAUAAUAUAAUAUUUGAAGAAUUUAGAGAAGAACUGGUUCCUCCACAAUACAAGAUUGUCAGAUGUCAGAUUUGGAGAAUAUGGUUGAAAACACUCUAAUAUGCUUGCUCAAGUUCUUGAGUCAGAAGAACAAGUGUGCUAUGAGAGAAUGAAGUUAUACAUUGCGAAGAUGGAUUGAUGAGCUUGAGAAUACCUUUAGGGUUUGGAAGAUAUGUGAACUUGAUACAAACAAGCUUAGAAGAAUCUCAGACGAGAUAAGCAUCAUUCAAUGUAAUAUUUUUGAA